This 253-nucleotide ribosomal RNA is filed under the name uncultured bacterium. RNAcentral describes it as "partial 16S ribosomal RNA". It matches the Rfam family "Bacterial small subunit ribosomal RNA", at positions 524 to 776 of the family's 1533-position model. The record is from RNAcentral.
UACGUGAGGGGCGAACGUUGUUCGGUGUCACUGGGCUUAAAGGGCGCGUAGGUGGUUGCGUAAGUAACGUGUGAAAUCCCUCGGCUUAACCGGGGAAUUGCACGUUAUACUGCGUGACUUGAGGAUCAGAGGGGAAUGGGGAACUCCAGGUGUAGCGGUGAAAUGCGCAGAUAUCUGGGGGAAGGCCGGCGGCGAAGGCGCCAUUCUGGCUGAUUCCUGACACUGAGGCGCGAAAGCGUGGGGAGCAAACAGG